GAUGAAGAACGUAGCGAAAUGCGAUAAGUAAUGCGAAUUGCAGAAUUCCAGUGAAUCAUCGAGUCUUUGAACGCACAUUGCGCCCCCUGGUAUUCCGGGGGGCAUGCCUGUCCGAGCGUCAUUGCUGCCCUCAAGCACGGCUUGUGUGUUGGGCCUCCGUCCUCCUCCCGGGGGACGGGCCCGAAAGGCAGCGGCGGCACCGCGUCCGGUCCUCGAGCGUAUGGGGCUUCGUCACCCGCUCUUGUAGGCCCGGCCGGCGCUUGCCGACACAUCAAUCUUUUUUCCAGGUUGACCUCGGAUCAGGUAGGGAUACCCGCUGAACUUAAGCAUAUCAAUAAGCGGAGGA
RNAcentral lists this unclassified non-coding RNA (346 nucleotides) under soil metagenome. RNAcentral's name for it is "partial contains 5.8S ribosomal RNA, internal transcribed spacer 2, and large subunit ribosomal RNA". The stretch from base 1 to 121 matches the Rfam family "5.8S ribosomal RNA", at positions 35 to 154 of the family's 154-position model. The record is from RNAcentral.